CAGGGAAGGCUGGCGGUAUUUCCUUCCCUGGGUUAUCUGUAAAACGUGCUGCUGCUCUGUGUGAAGAGCUAACAGCUAGGUCAAUACGGGAAAGGUAGACCUGGAAAAGCUGACGUCUGACUGAGGCCAACCGGGAAACGGUGUUCAUUCACUCGCUGAGUUGAGGCGGCUAGUGUUAGCAUAGCAAUCUGCAUCAAGCUCUAUUAAUGAUUGGUAGGACUGUGGGCGGUCAGGAAGCGUCUUGUGCUGCUCUUCUCGCGCUCUUGACUCUGCUGCAGCGCCUUCUCAACUCCAAUGACUGUGCUCAACACACACAGCACAACUCAUUCUCAGCAACCGACUGCCUGAUAGUCAGCAGCAGCAGGGCACAGAUAAAAUAAAUAAUAAUUCGAUGCCAUGAUGGCCGCACAGCAAUUUUGACGUAGCUCAAAAACCCGCGACCAAUACAUUUUCACCCGUGACAUACUUUUCAAACCUGCUGGCGGCACACAAAUAGUGAUCAAUUUAGUGUGUGUGACCUUUAUUUAACUAGGCAAGUCAGUUGAGAACAAAUUAUUUACAAUGAAGGCCUACACCGGCUAAACCCGGAUGACGCUGGGCCAAUUGUGCGCCGCCCUAUGGGAUUCCCAAUCACGGCAGUUGUGAUACAGCCUGGAUUCAAACGAGGUUGUCUGAAGUGAUGCCUCUAGCACUGAGAUGCAGUGCCUUAGACCGCUAAACUGUAAUUUCUGUGGUAAAUUUGGGUUGACUUUGCAUAUCCUUAUGGGGCUAGUUAGGGGCCAUUGGUAAAUUAGUGUACAUGGGACAAUAACAUUCCAGAUAGCUCCAAAUUUCAAUGACUUAACCUCAAACCAACUGUAAAUUGCAGAAAUUCUUAUACAAAUAUUGAAAGCGUUUGAGAACUAAAAGGUGUGCAACAUGAGAAUAUUAUAAUUUACUGUAUAAUUUAUUGACGGUCCCUGACUAGCCCCAGCGAUUCAAAGUAAAACCAACUUGGCCACGGUUGCACACCAGCAACUCAUGCCACCUGCGAAC
Molecule: long non-coding RNA, 1035 nt
Filed under: Salmo salar (Atlantic salmon)
Lineage: Eukaryota; Metazoa; Chordata; Actinopteri; Salmoniformes; Salmonidae
Description: lncRNA (ENSSSAG00000087176.1)
Source: RNAcentral